RNAcentral lists this ribosomal RNA (464 nucleotides) under uncultured bacterium. Its description in RNAcentral is "partial 16S ribosomal RNA". It matches the Rfam family "Bacterial small subunit ribosomal RNA", at positions 339 to 795 of the family's 1533-position model. The record is from RNAcentral.
CUACGGGUUGCUGCAGUGGGGAAUAUUGCACAAUGGGCGCAAGCCUGAUGCAGCCAUGCCGCGUGUGUGAAGAAGGCCUUCGGGUUGUAAAGUACUUUCAGCGGGGAGGAAGGGAGUAAAGCUAAUACCUUUGCUCAUUGACGUUACCCGCAGAAGAAGCACCGGCUAACUCCGUGCCAGCAGCCGCGGUAAUACGGAGGGUGCAAGCGUUAAUCGGAAUUACUGGGCGUAAAGCGCACGCAGGCGGUUUGUUAAGUCAGAUGUGAAAUCCCCGGGCUCAACCUGGGAACUGCAUCUGAUACUGGCAAGCUUGAGUCUCGUAGAGGGGGGUAGAAUUCCAGGUGUAGCGGUGAAAUGCGUAGAGAUUUGGAGGAAUACCGGUGGCGAAGGCGGCCCCCUGGACGAAGACUGACGCUCAGGUGCGAAAGCGUGGGGAGCAAACAGGAUUAGAUACCCGAGUAGUC